Molecule: ribosomal RNA, 271 nt
Filed under: uncultured bacterium
Lineage: Bacteria
Description: partial 16S ribosomal RNA
Rfam family: Bacterial small subunit ribosomal RNA
Source: RNAcentral
UACAGAGGGUGCAAGCGUUAAUCGGAGUGACUGGGCGUAAAGGGCGUGUAGGUGGAAAGAUAAGUUAUGUGUGAAAUAUCCGGGCUUAACCUGGAGGAGUCAUGUAAUACUGUUUUUCUCGAGUAGAGCAGAGGGAAGUAGAAUUUCCGGUGUAGCGGUGAAAUGCGUAGAGAUCGGAAGGAAUACCAGUGGCGAAGGCGGCUUCCUGGGCUCAUACUGACACUGAGGCGCGAAAGCGUGGGUAGCGAACAGGAUUAGAUACCCCUGUAGU